Molecule: ribosomal RNA, 432 nt
Filed under: uncultured bacterium
Lineage: Bacteria
Description: partial 16S ribosomal RNA
Rfam family: Bacterial small subunit ribosomal RNA
Source: RNAcentral
GCGAACGCUGGCGGCAGGCCUAACACAUGCAAGUCGAACGGAUCCUUCGGGAUUAGUGGCGGACGGGUGAGUAACACGUGGGAACGUGCCCUUUGGUUCGGAACAACUCAGGGAAACUUGAGCUAAUACCGGAUGUGCCCUUCGGGGGAAAGAUUUAUCGCCAUUGGAGCGGCCCGCGUCUGAUUAGCUAGUUGGUGAGGUAACGGCCCACCAAGGCGACGAUCAGUAGCUGGUCUGAGAGGAUGAUCAGCCACACUGGGACUGAGACACGGCCCAGACGCCUACGGGAGGCAGCAGUGGGGAAUCUUGCGCAAUGGGCGAAAGCCUGACGCAGCCAUGCCGCGUGAAUGAUGAAGGUCUUAGGAUUGUAAAAUUCUUUCAGCGGGGACGAUAAUGACGGUACCCGCAGAAGAAGCUCCGGCUAACUUCGUG